AGACAAAAUGUAUAGUUAAUUAUUUUUUAUAUAAAUUUAAUAAUCCAUAUAUGACGAGGAAUCUAAAAUUUAAUUUUUUUUUUUGAAAAACUAAACAAGGACACAUGUAUAUGCGUAGAGUAAUUGCGUAUCGGUAUGCCUGUCCGAAUCCGACGGCCCGUGCACGCCGUACCGGCCGUACUCCGCAGGUGCCUGAUCCAUCCACUACGGUCAUUGGCGAAAAGCAUUUGCCAUCGUACUACAUGGUUGAUGGAUCAUUAGCGUACCGACGAAUCCUACGGCUGCGUGGUGCGCCGAGUACGUAGCUUUUCCACCACAUACGACGACCGCGAGGAGGCAGAGGGAGGAGGCACGCUUGGUGCCACGUGACCAUCCAUCUAUCAGCCCUGUUUUGUUUGUUGUUUUUUUCUCCUGCGAUGGCGCAGCCUUGUUUACUUGCAAAAUAUUAUGCAAAAUAUAAAUAGUAUUAAUUUUAUUUGUAUUUUAUAAAUAUUAUUCAAUUAUAAACUAACUAGUCUUAAAAGAUUCGUAUCAUCAAUUCCUAUCAAACUGUGUAAUUAAUUUUUAUUUUCGUCUGUAUUUAAUACUUCAUACCGCGGGUGCGCUCCGCAAGUGUGCCCCUGCCCGCGCUGCCCCGCUGCGCGCGCGCCUGGUUUUGCGUGGGCACGGCAGGUCCCUUUUCAGGC
RNAcentral lists this long non-coding RNA (686 nucleotides) under Sorghum bicolor (sorghum). RNAcentral's name for it is "long non-coding RNA (SBIC_LNC016952)". The record is from RNAcentral. Lineage: Eukaryota; Viridiplantae; Streptophyta; Magnoliopsida; Poales; Poaceae.